Unclassified non-coding RNA from Pongo abelii (Sumatran orangutan), 148 nucleotides. It matches the Rfam family "Metazoan signal recognition particle RNA". From Rfam's summary of the family: The signal recognition particle (SRP) is a universally conserved ribonucleoprotein. It is involved in the co-translational targeting of proteins to membranes. The record is from Ensembl. Lineage: Eukaryota; Metazoa; Chordata; Mammalia; Primates; Hominidae.
GCUGGGUGUGGUGGUGCACACCUGUAAUCCCAGCUACUAAGGAGGCUGAGGCAGGAGAAUCGCUUGCACCCAGGAGGCAGAGGUUGCAGUGAGCCAAGAUUGUGCCACUGCAUUCCAGCCUGGGCAAUAGAAUGAGACUCUGUCUCAA